Bos taurus (domestic cattle) is the source of this 386-nucleotide long non-coding RNA. The record is from Ensembl. Lineage: Eukaryota; Metazoa; Chordata; Mammalia; Artiodactyla; Bovidae.
GGGCAAUGGGUAAACCUCAGGAACUCUUAGGCUGAGGUGCUUGAAAUCUCUUAGGUUGAGGUGCUUGAAAGCGCUUACGCGUCGAAAAGGAACUAUCUGCCAACCUAGUGAAGUGUCGACGGAAUCUUGAAGUGAUGAGGUGAUGCCUCCCUUUACUCAUGUGAAACUGCAGCUUGGGGAUGAAGGCAUGGGGUAUCUCUUCACGGCUGCUCCAGCAAAGUGCAGCCACUGCUCCUUACCUUGGACCAGGGGUAUCUCCUCACCGCCGCCCUUCCUGACCUUCAAUGUGGGAUAGCUUCUCUAGGCCCUCUUGCGCCUGUGCAGCCACCGCUCCUUGGAAGUGCGGUUGGUCCUCCCGGCCGCCGCCCCUGGCCUCGGGUGUGGGG